CCCUUAGAUGUUCUGGGCCGCACGCGCGCUACACCGAUGCAUUCAACGAGUGUACCUUGGCCGAGAGGCCUGGGCAAUCUUUUGAACGUGCAUCGUGAUAGGGAUAGAUUAUUGCAAUUAUUAAUCUUGAACGAGGAAUUCCUAGUAAACGCAGAUCAUCAAUCUGCAUUGAUUACGUCCCUGCCCUUUGUACACACCGCCCGUCGCACCUACCGAUUGGAUGGUCCGGUGAAGCCUCGGGAUUGUGGCGGUUGCCUUUAUUGGUGGCCGCCGCGAGAACUUGUCUAAACCUUAUCAUCUAGAGGAAGGUGAAGUCGUAACA
RNAcentral lists this ribosomal RNA (322 nucleotides) under uncultured eukaryote. RNAcentral describes it as "partial 18S ribosomal RNA". It matches the Rfam family "Eukaryotic small subunit ribosomal RNA", at positions 1470 to 1796 of the family's 1831-position model. The record is from RNAcentral.